RNAcentral lists this ribosomal RNA (107 nucleotides) under Dyella mobilis. Lineage: Bacteria; Pseudomonadati; Pseudomonadota; Gammaproteobacteria; Lysobacterales; Rhodanobacteraceae. The record is from RNAcentral.
UGGCGGCUAUAGCGCUGUGGUCCCACCCGAUCCCAUCCCGAACUCGGAAGUGAAACGCAGCUGCGCCGAUGGUAGUGUGGACUUCCAUGCAAGAGUAGGUCACCGCC